GUCGCACGUGAUAUUCGCAGGGUGUGGAGCGAAUUCGUGGUAUAUGACUAUUUAUUGUAAUUGAAAAAUGGGCGAUCUAUUUCCGAUUUGUCACUCCUAAGAAAGCAAUUAUACUACGUAUUUGUAAAGUAUACAUAAUUUUCUUAAUGAUAAAAUGGAGACUUCAUUGAUAUAAUUCAACGUAUCCGUUAUGGUCAAGGAUUCAUGGCUCGGAU
RNAcentral lists this long non-coding RNA (215 nucleotides) under Elaeis guineensis (African oil palm). RNAcentral describes it as "long non-coding RNA (EGUI_LNC000090)". The record is from RNAcentral. Lineage: Eukaryota; Viridiplantae; Streptophyta; Magnoliopsida; Arecales; Arecaceae.